CAUAUAGUAUCGAUCCACUAUAGUGUACAUUACAUGACGUAGCACGGAGAGGUAGAGCGAGAAAGAGAGACUUGUCAACUUCGGAAAAUCUCGGUUCAAAACCGAACCGAAAAUGCAAGACUUGCUUCGAUUGUUUUCCUUCAAUUUCUUUCUGUAUUAUUUACUAUAAUGGAACACAUGUUAUUUACACUGUGUUAGAUCAAUA
Paramuricea clavata is the source of this 205-nucleotide non-coding RNA. NCBI's taxonomy places the organism in Eukaryota, Metazoa, Cnidaria, Anthozoa, Malacalcyonacea, Plexauridae. The record is from the annotation of a GenBank genome assembly.